UACGUAGGGUGCAAGCGUUAAUCGGAAUUACUGGGCGUAAAGCGUGCGCAGGCGGCUUUGCAAGACAGAUGUGAAAUCCCCGGGCUUAACCUGGGAAUUGCAUUUGUGACUGCACGGCUAGAGUGUGUCAGAGGGGGGUAGAAUUCCACGUGUAGCAGUGAAAUGCGUAGAGAUGUGGAGGAAUACCGAUGGCGAAGGCAGCCCCCUGGGAUAACACUGACGCUCAUGCACGAAAGCGUGGGGAGCAAACAGG
Molecule: ribosomal RNA, 253 nt
Filed under: uncultured bacterium
Lineage: Bacteria
Description: partial 16S ribosomal RNA
Rfam family: Bacterial small subunit ribosomal RNA
Source: RNAcentral